UAUAAAGUUAUGUGAAAAUGUUGGUAUUUUAAGGCCCAAAAUGAGUAUUAUUAUUAUAAAUAACAUAACUACAAAAUAAUGUCAGUCAAAUUACGUUUUUCUUAAUCAAUUUCUUUCAUUAUAAAACUUUAACAGAAACUGCGGGUGUGUGUCUGUGUUUGGUGAAAACCAAUACCUGUAAUAUAUAUUUUGUAAACCCUGUUUUACUUUUAUUUCACCUUCUGGUUGUCAUCCUUGUUUUUGUCAGCAGGUGGUGCUGCUCUUACAGAGAGGUCUAAAAUUACCGGAAGUUGAAAAAAUCUCUCGUUUACGUCCUCUCACAUUCUAACGGGUAAAACGGAAGAGAAAGACAUUUUUGAGUCGAGACCUGUCGGAAAAGGCGACUUUAUGGCCACAUGAAUGAAGAAUCCAGAUUUUCGUGUGCUUUUUUGGAUUUAUUAUGACUGGAUGCAUUGGUCACCUCCUCACUGCCGUCAAUGCAGUCCAGUCUCUCCUGCAGCUCAGCGAAGGUGUUGCAUUUGAGACAUUCGGCUCCUUCCUCUGGAACUGGAGCCAAUGGUUGACCAACCAGUGACUGGGAGGGCUGCGGCGGCACUGGGCCACUGGUCUGCUCGUCUGUCUGAGCCUGAAAGUGUAUUGACCCUUGACCCCUGACCUUGUUCUGGACUCCAGCUGGUGGACCUUGCCCCAGUAUUUGAUGCUGCUCAGGUGUUUUUCCUCGGAGCAAAGCUGGGACAAUCGGGACGAACUCCGGCG
This is a long non-coding RNA of Xiphophorus couchianus (Monterrey platyfish), 756 nucleotides long. RefSeq lists it as uncharacterized. The transcript is spliced from 3 exons. The record is from RefSeq and is a predicted model, not a curated record. NCBI's taxonomy places the organism in Eukaryota, Metazoa, Chordata, Actinopteri, Cyprinodontiformes, Poeciliidae.